UGAACGCUGGCGGCGUGCCUAAUACAUGCAAGUCGAGCGGACGGACGAGAAGCUUGCUUCUCUGAUGUUAGCGGCGGACGGGUGAGUAACACGUGGAUAACCUACCUAUAAGACUGGGAUAACUUCGGGAAACCGGAGCUAAUACCGGAUAAUAUUUUGAACCGCAUGGUUCAAAAGUGAAAGACGGUCUUGCUGUCACUUAUAGAUGGAUCCGCGCUGCAUUAGCUAGUUGGUAAGGUAACGGCUUACCAAGGCAACGAUGCAUAGCCGACCUGAGAGGGUGAUCGGCCACACUGGAACUGAGACACGGUCCAGACUCCUACGGGAGGCAGCAGUAGGGAAUCUUCCGCAAUGGGCGAAAGCCUGACGGAGCAACGCCGCGUGAGUGAUGAAGGUCUUCGGAUCGUAAAACUCUGUUAUUAGGGAAGAACAUAUGUGUAAGUAACUGUGCACAUCUUGACGGUACCUAAUCAGAAAGCCACGGCUAACUACGUG
RNAcentral lists this ribosomal RNA (495 nucleotides) under uncultured bacterium. RNAcentral's name for it is "partial 16S ribosomal RNA". It matches the Rfam family "Bacterial small subunit ribosomal RNA", at positions 30 to 507 of the family's 1533-position model. The record is from RNAcentral.